CAGUGUAAUAGUUGAGUGACC
This 21-nucleotide microRNA is filed under the name Rosa chinensis. RNAcentral describes it as "sRNA RchiOBHm_Chr7g0178085". Lineage: Eukaryota; Viridiplantae; Streptophyta; Magnoliopsida; Rosales; Rosaceae. The record is from RNAcentral.